Molecule: ribosomal RNA, 1385 nt
Filed under: metagenome
Description: bacterial SSU rRNA
Rfam family: Bacterial small subunit ribosomal RNA
Source: RNAcentral
AGAGUUUGAUCCUGGCUCAGGAUGAACGCUAGCGGCAGGCCUAACACAUGCAAGUCGAGGGGUAACAGGUAGGAAGUUUACUUUCUAUGCUGACGACCGGCGCACGGGUGAGUAACGCGUAUGCAAUCUACCCUUAACUGGGGAAUAGCCCGAAGAAAUUCGGAUUAAUGCCCCAUAACACUAUGGUAUCGCAUGAUACUAUAUUUAAAACUCCGGUGGUUAAGGAUGAGCAUGCGUGACAUUAGUUAGUUGGUGAGGUAACGGCUCACCAAGACUGCGAUGUCUAGGGGGCCUGAGAGGGUAGUCCCCCACACUGGUACUGAGACACGGACCAGACUCCUACGGGAGGCAGCAGUGAGGAAUAUUGGUCAAUGGGCGCAAGCCUGAACCAGCCAUGCCGCGUGCAGGAAAACGGCUCUAUGAGUUGUAAACUGCUUUUAUACGGGAAUAACCAUAGCUACGUGUAGUUAUCUGAAUGUACCGUACGAAUAAGCAUCGGCUAACUCCGUGCCAGCAGCCGCGGUAAUACGGAGGAUGCAAGCGUUAUCCGGAUUUAUUGGGUUUAAAGGGUGCGUAGGCGGGAAAAUAAGUCAGUGGUGAAAUCCUGCAGCUUAACUGUAGAACUGCCAUUGAUACUGUUUUUCUUGAGUAUAGUUGAGGUAGGCGGAAUGUGUAAUGUAGCGGUGAAAUGCUUAGAUAUUACACAGAACACCGAUUGCGUAGGCAGCUUACUAAACUAUUACUGACGCUCAGGCACGAAAGCGUGGGUAGCGAACAGUAUUAGAUACCCUGGUAGUCCGCGCCGUAAACGAUGAUCACUAGCUGUUGGCAACACAUAGUCAGUGGCAAAGCGAAAGCAUUAAGUGAUCCACCUGGGGAGUACGCUCGCAAGAGUGAAACUCAAAGGAAUUGACGGGGGCCCGCACAAGCGGUGGAACAUGUGGUUUAAUUCGAUGAUACGCGAGGAACCUUACCUGGGCUUAAAUGCAUAACGACGUAGUGGGAAACCAUUGCUCCCUUCGGGGCGUUUUGCAAGGUGCUGCAUGGUUGUCGUCAGCUCGUGCCGUGAGGUGUCGGGUUAAGUCCCAUAACGAGCGCAACCCCUAUCGUUAGUUGCUAGCAGGUAAUGCUGAGGACUCUAGCGAAACUGCCGGUGUAAACCGAGAGGAAGGUGGGGAUGACGUCAAAUCAGCACGGCCCUUAUGUCCAGGGCUACACACGUGUUACAAUGGUCGGUACAGAGGGCAGCUACCUGGUGACAGGAUGCUAAUCUCGAAAGCCGGUCACAGUUCGGAUUGAAGUCUGCAACUCGACUUCAUGAAGCUGGAAUCGCUAGUAAUCGCGUAUCAGCAAUGACGCGGUGAAUACGUUCCCGGGCCUUGUAC